Molecule: long non-coding RNA, 382 nt
Filed under: Nicotiana benthamiana
Lineage: Eukaryota; Viridiplantae; Streptophyta; Magnoliopsida; Solanales; Solanaceae
Description: long non-coding RNA (NBEN_LNC024251)
Source: RNAcentral
UAAUUUUCAAAUAUCAUUUUCACUUAAUCUUUUUCAUUUUUCUCUUCAAGAAUUUCACUUAUUACAAAAAGGAGUUACAACUGAUGGUAACCCGAGCCCAAGCCAAUCCUAGAAAACACUUGUACGCCCUGAAGCUGGUCAAAUAGAUCAACUUACGAAGCAAAGGAUAACGGUUCUUCACAACAACCUUGUUCAACAGGCAAUAAUCAAUACACAUUCACAUAGAAUCACCCUUCUUCUUCACAAACAAGACGCACCUCAUGGUGAAACAUUGGGUCGAAUAAAACCUUUGCCAAGCAAUUUCUGUAACUGGUCCUUCAACUCCUUCAACUCAGGAGGAGCAAUACGAUACGGAGGAAUGGAAAUGGGCUGAGUACCCCGG